UGGGGAAUAUUGGACAAUGGGCGAAAGCCUGAUCCAGCCAUGCCGCGUGGAUGAUGAAGGCCUUAGGGUUGUAAAAUCCUUUCGCCGAGGACGAUAAUGACGGUACUCGGAGAAGAAGCUCCGGCUAACUUCGUGCCAGCAGCCGCGGUAAUACGAAGGGGGCUAGCGUUGUUCGGAUUUACUGGGCGUAAAGCGCGUGUAGGCGGGUCGUUAAGUUGGGGGUGAAAUCCCGAGGCUCAACCUCGGAACUGCCUUCAAAACUGGCGACCUGGACUCAAGCAGAGGCAAGUGGAAUUGCGAGUGUAGAGGUGAAAUUCGUAGAUAUUCGCAGGAACACCAGUGGCGAAGGCGACUUGCUGGGCUUGUAGUGACGCUGAGACGCGAAAGCGUGGGGAGCAAACAGGAUUAGAUACCCGUGUAGUCCCUGAGCGGGCUGGCAAGGCGCAU
RNAcentral lists this ribosomal RNA (447 nucleotides) under uncultured bacterium. RNAcentral's name for it is "bacterial SSU rRNA". It matches the Rfam family "Bacterial small subunit ribosomal RNA", at positions 355 to 825 of the family's 1533-position model. The record is from RNAcentral.